Molecule: long non-coding RNA, 1272 nt
Organism: Carcharodon carcharias (great white shark)
Lineage: Eukaryota; Metazoa; Chordata; Chondrichthyes; Lamniformes; Lamnidae
Exons: 3
Source: RefSeq, a predicted model, not a curated record
GCAGGAAUUGCAAGUGAAGUUCAGGCUUGAGUUCAAAAGUCUCAGAUCUUACAAGGCAGUUGUGGAAAAGUUUGGAGUUGAUCCCAAGAAAGUGGAUAAGCUUCAAGAACCUUGAUGCUGCCUUCUUUUAGUCAGAAAGUCAAAACCACCUGAGUCAUAGCCUUCUACAUCAGCCCUCCAUUGAUGUUCCAUAUCAGCUAACUGGAGGCACGGUGAAUAGCAGAUUUGUGGCUGAUGUAAUUUCUCACUGGCAUGACAGAAGAUUGGAAGGCGUGGCAAGAUUCCGGCGAGCAGCUGUUUUAAUGAGCAUUCAUCUCAUGCUAAUGAAUGCAACUGGCAUUCGAGCCACUAGUCUGUGGGAGUACCAACCCGCCAUAACACAUUGUUGGGAGAAUUGCAACUUGGUUUUACGACGGUGGAUUUGUGACUUUUUGCCUGCAGCUGGAUUCUCCGAUCCCGCCUGCCACAAAAUCUGCCAUGGGCGCGAUGGGAAAAUUCCAGCCAACAUUCCAGGUGUUUGACUUUUUAUCAAAACUGGGAAAAGUUAGAAAUGUAACAGCUUUUGAGCAAGUGAAAGGGGGAAGGGUGGGAAAAAGAGCAUAAAGGGAGAUCUGUGACAGGGUGGAGGACAGAAGAGGUUAAAUGACAUAAGGUUUCAUGGUGCAAGACCAAAGGAAAUGGUAAUGGAACAGGUAAAGAAACAAAUGAUGUGUCUAAAGGAGGUGUGAAUGGCAGGACCCUGAAUAACUACUGGCCAAAUGCAAGGUAAAGGAAAUAAGAAGAAACAAGAGAAAAACAUUAAACCAGCAAAGAAACACUAAACAAAAUGGGUGCAGAGGUUAUGAUGUAAAAUUGUUGAACUCAAUGUUGAGUCCAGAAGGCUGAGACAUGCCCAUUUAAAAGAUUAAAUUGUGAUGAUUUUUAUUGGAACACUGCACAGAAAGGUCAGAUGGGAACAAGGUGGAGAAUUAAAAUGACAAUCGGGUGACUAGAAAUUCAGGGCGUGUCUUGCAGACUGAACAAAGGUAUUCUGCAAAGCGGUCACCCAGUCUGUGUUUGUCUCCCCAGUGUAGAGCAGACUACAUCAUGAACAGCAAAUAUAAUAUACUAAAUCAAAAGAAGUACAAGUAAGAUCAAUAAGAUCUGAAAUUUUAAUGCUGUUUCUCUCUCCAUAGAUGCUGCCAGACCUGGUGAGCAUUUCUAGCUACAUAUCUGCUGAGAGUUUCGAGUAAUGUAUAAAUAUUCUGUGGGGGUUUUCAGAUAUGUGAAUUA